This 3362-nucleotide long non-coding RNA is filed under the name Homo sapiens (human). Its description in RNAcentral is "non-protein coding lnc-FOXO1-2:7". The record is from RNAcentral. Lineage: Eukaryota; Metazoa; Chordata; Mammalia; Primates; Hominidae.
GCUGGAGCACAGUGGCAUGAUCUCGGCUAACUGCAACCUCUGCCUGCCUCCCAGGUUCAAGCAAUUCUCCUGCCUCAGCCUCCCAAGUAGCUGGGAUUACAGCAAACAAUGGACUAUUGACUAAGCUUUCAGAGCUGUGGGUGUUCUCAGAGGGAGGCCAGCCAGAACACCAGCAUCUCCGGCUUUUCUUCCAACUCCCAAGUUGGAGCUCCAUCUAUCAGAAAUAUGAAACCCUGGAAUCUUCCUCCUCCUCACUUCUCUGCCUUAAGGCGUGGUGGCCACGCCUGUCAUCCUAGCACUUUGGGAGGCCGAAGCUGGCCAAUCGUUUGAGCUCAGGAGUUCGAGACCAGCCUGGGAAACAUAGUGAGACCUCGUCUCUAAAUAAAAAAAGAAAAAAGAAAAAGCUCCAGGGUCCUUUUCUUCCCUUGAUGUUGGUUAGCUAAGAAACUACCCCCCAAAGUUCUCAUGCCCCUGUGUCUACUUAGCAAAGACACGGACCUCGCCACAGGGCUCUGCCUGCCACAAUUCAUGAGCUGGCCAGAGGUCUUUGGAUUCCUCCCAGUCAUUGCUGAGAUGAGUGAGGAUUGUUUCAGAAAAUCAGGCCUCCUCCUGGGGAAUGUGCCUCAGCUUCUGCCUGGCAAACUGGGCUGUGAAGAUUUUGCUCCGAUUGACUUCUUUUGCUGUACAGCUGAUGGAUUCAGUUUAUGUUAUGUUAUUUUAUUUUAGUGAGAGCUCUUAACAUGAAAUCUACCCUCUUAAAAAUUUUAAGUGUACAAUACAUUAUUAACCACAGGUACAGUGUUGUACAGGGAUCUCUAGAGCUUCCAAGUCCUGCUUAGCUGGAACGUUUUGCCCAUUGAUCAGCAGCUGGCCAUUUCCAGUUUACUUUUUCAGUUUAAAUUCCUGUUUCCCUGUGGCCACCACCUACGAGACCCUGUAUUCAAAGAGGCUAAAGGAAUUUUUUUAUAAUCGUGACAAUUGUAUAAUAAGGAAGAAAAGAACAAGGACUCAAUAUCUCAGCUUUUUGUCUCUAAACCCUGUGAUCAUCCUCCCGCUCCACCCAGCCGUAUCCACGGAGACUUAGGAGGGCUAGAAUACACAGACAUAUAUGAAUACAUAUAAUAUGAAUACUAAAUCUGGCCAUUAGAACUGGUGUCUUUAUUUGCUCCUUACUUAUUUGUCUGUUGAUAAUGAUAGGGACACCCAUAACACUUUACUGUUAAUUAAAAUUUUCAUCGUUGAUCUAAGAAAUAGUAUUUGGAAUGUUAAUCUCCAACCUAACAAAAAGAAUGCAAAAUUAGAAACUGCAGCUCAAUUUCACUUAUAAUAGGAUAUUAAAAAUCUAUGCUAAAUAAUAACUCUAGUGUAACAAUGCAGCAAAAUAAUAAAUGACCAAAUAUGCCUUAUUUGUGAAUGUACAGAUAAUUAAAUAUUAAUAAAUCAAUUUAUAUAACACAUCACCUCAAGGGCAUAGGAAAAAAAUGAUAAGUAUUUCAAUAUAAAACAUUUAAGAACCAUUCCUAAAUUUAAUAAAAAAGCAAGUAUUUAGCAAACUACAUAACAACAUUAUUCCACCAAAAAAUGGAUUUUCAAGAAAAAUAAGAAUUGGAAACUAAUCCUAUGAACUUCAUUGAAAGACAGUUCUUUUAUAUUUAAAUAAUGGUGGAGACAGCAACAUUACAGUUUCCCCUUUCUUUUUAUUGAUUAGUUUUAGCAUUAUUAAAUAGCAACUAAUUAAACUGAAUAAUUAAGAAAUCAGACGUGAGAUAAGAACUCAAAUGUUAUUCAUAUUUUAAAAAACUGAACAUCUUUGUUGAACAAGUCUGGUAUUUCUGACAAAAUGGGAUUUUAUAUCCUUUGAGAGACUUAAGCUUAUAAAAGUUCUUAAAUAUCUUAGUUGUCUCAUAACACAGUUUCUCAGGCAUGUGAAAACUGGAUCUGAAAUGUACAGUUGGAAGCCCAGAAUAACAUAGGCUGAUGGGGCAAUCAUAGGCAAGUUCCAAAUUAAACAGGCUGAUCAGUUUCACAGAACACACACCUGAACGACUCCAGUGAAUACAGGGUUGGAGGCACCUCAGCUGUGAGGUAGGCUGUGUCAUGACUGAAAGCUUGUGUGACAUAGGAGUGUGUCUUGCCUUCCAAAUGUGGGCUUCACUGCAGCACCUCUGGGGGAGGACAUUGUCAUGGCUCUAGGAGCUUAUGGAAGGGCAACAGCACUGCCGUCCUCAGGCUGAAUCACCCAUGGCAUUAGCUUUGUAGCAUGCCUGAGAAGGACCUGGAAGUUAUUUCUCAAGCAACUGAAACACACAAACACACAUGCUUUUAAAAUGCCCAUUUUCUUGGAGCUGCCUCUUGUGCCACUUCUUAUGGGACUGGAGGAAAUGGCUUUGUCUCUACUACUCAGGGUCAUGGUAUAAAGAAGCUCAUUUUCUUUGCCAGCGCUAAGCCUGGCUGAAGAGGCGAAGACCCUUCUCUCCAGCCUGUGCUCAGGAACAGACGGUAGCCUCCGUUACGCAAAGACGGAACUUCAGCAGAUUUGUUAUGGAACCCAGCACCAGGCUAGAACUUCUGCUGGUCAGUCUUCAGUGCAGGGGUCAUACCACAGGGAACAGCACUCAACUUCCUCCUUCAAACUGUGUCCUGAACGACAGGACCUUCAAGCCUCAGGAUAUACAUGGGAGGAAAUAAAACUUCUUGAUUCCUCCUGUGGCUGGGGGAACCAUAGAGAGAUCAGUCCCUUGCAACUGUCCCUGGGGACACUUACUGAGCUCCUGGACUGCCAAGUGCUGCUGGCUCCCCAUCUGAAUACUGGAACCAAAUUCAAGCUGGUUUGUCUUUUACUGAGAAGCCUUUGAAUUCUUUGAAUAUGUUCUGACUGGUGUCUAGCCAGUGGGAGAUGUGAUUACAGAAAUUGAUGGGCCUGUGGCACAGACUGCUUUCUGAAAACACAGGGUUGUGUAUUUUGAAAGUGAUUCCAUAAAUGCUUAUUUCACCUGACUCCAGUUUUCUGUAUGUGAAAGCAGUGGCUAAUGUGUCAAAUGAGGACAACCAAGCCAUCAAGGUCUUUCCUCUGGAAGGUCACAGAAGAAGUCAUUCAAGAAUGAGGUUGGAAGAGAUCAUUCUCCUGUUUGCAAAUGAGAAACAAGUAUAGGUGUGAAGAGACCUGUCCACAGCCAUUCAACAAAUGAAAAGUCCAAUCGAAGAUGGGACCUGAUUUCUUACACCCCAGGUAUCUGCUCAUCAUCUUGGGUAAGACCACAGGGACCACCAAGACACCCAGAAGAGACACUUGAUUGUUUCCUGGAUGUUCCAGUUUUGGGGCCCAUAGAUAUAUGCCAUUUACUUUACAUGCUUUCUAAGAC